Molecule: ribosomal RNA, 494 nt
Filed under: uncultured bacterium
Lineage: Bacteria
Description: bacterial SSU rRNA
Rfam family: Bacterial small subunit ribosomal RNA
Source: RNAcentral
AUUGAACGCUAGCGGCAUGCCUUACACAUGCAAGUCGAACGGCAGCGCGGGAGCAAUCCUGGCGGCGAGUGGCGAACGGGUGAGUAAUGCAUCGGAACGUGCCCAUCGAGUGGGGGAUAACUGCGCGAAAGCGUUGCUAAUACCGCAUACGACCUACGGGUGAAAGCAGGGGGACCGCAAGGCCUUGCGUCGAUGGAGCGGCCGAUGCCGGAUUAGCUAGUUGGUGAGGUAAAGGCUCACCAAGGCGACGAUCCGUAGCUGGUCUGAGAGGAUGAUCAGCCACAGUUGGGACUGAGACACCGGACCCAAACUCCGUACGGGAGGCAGCAGGUGGGGAAUCGUUGGACAAGUGGGACGAAAGCCUGAUCCAGCAAUGCCGCGUGUGGGAAGAAGGCCUUCGGGUUGUAAACCACUUUUGGCGGGAAAGAAAUGGUCUGUGCUAAUACCACGGAUUGAUGACGGUACCCGCAGAAUAAGCACCGGCUAACUUCGUG